Molecule: ribosomal RNA, 357 nt
Filed under: uncultured eukaryote
Lineage: Eukaryota
Description: SSU rRNA
Rfam family: Eukaryotic small subunit ribosomal RNA
Source: RNAcentral
AGCUCCAAUAGCGUAUAUUAAAGUUGUUGCAGUUAAAAAGCUCGUAGUUGAAUUUCUGCUCAUCGGUUGACAGCACAUUCGUGCUUGUUCAAUCGGUGGGCAUCCUUCUAGGCGUUCCUUACGGACACGUUUAGAGCCUUUACUGUGAGAAAAUUAGAGCGUUCCAAGCAAGCGAUUGCUUUGAAUACUACAGCAUGGAAUAAUACUAUAGGACUUUUGUGCCUAUUUGUUGGUGUUAGGCCGAAAGUAAUGAUUAAUAGGGGCAGUUGGGGGCAUUCGUAUUUGACAGCCAGAGGUGAAAUUCGUGGACUUGUCAAAGACGAACUACUGCGAAAGCAUUUGCCAAGGAUGUUCCCA